UCCUGCCAGUAGUCAUAUGCUUGUCUCAGAGAUUAAGCCAUGCAUGUCUAAGUACAUACCUUCAAACGGUGAAACCGCGAAUGGCUCAUUAAAUCAGCUAUGGUUCCUUGGAUCGUACAUACUACAUGGAUAACUGUAGUAAUUCUAGAGCUAAUACAUGCCACUAUGCCCUGACCCGCAAGGGAACGGGUGGAUUUAUUAGAACAGAACCAACCGGGGGCGGCUUCGGUCGUCCYUGUUGCAUUCUGUGAUGACUCUGGAUAACUUCACUGAUCGCAGUCGGCCUUGUGUCGGCGACGGAUCUUUCAAAUGUCUGCCCUAUCAAUUAUCGAUGGUAGGUGACCUGCCUACCAUGGUGCUAACGGGUAACGGGGAAUCAGGGUUCGAUUCCGGAGAGGGAGCCUGAGAAACGGCUACCACUUCCAAGGAAGGCAGCAGGCACGCAAAUUACCCAAUCCCGGCACGGGGAGGUAGUGACGAAAAAUACGGAUACGGGACUCACUUGAGGCUCCGUAAUUCGAAUGAGUACAAUUUAAAUCCUUUAACGAGGAUCAACUGGAGGGCAAGUCUGGUGCCAGCAGCCGCGGUAACUCCAGCUCCAGAAGCGUAUAUUAAAGUUGUUGCAGUUAAAAAGCUCGUAGUUGGAUCUGGGUUGCAUGGCUACACGCUCGUGUGUUCGUUAUGGCUAUGCCGUGACAGACAUGCGAGUCGGUUUCGUGGUUGUGCUUCCUUUUUGCUGUGUCUGUUUACAGGUGUCAGCGUGGCUGGUGGGUUUACCUACUGGUCUGUUGGCAUGCUUCUUGAUGCCCUUAACCGGGUGUCGGAGGCGGACAGCACGUUUACUUUGAACAAAUUUGAGUGCUCAAAGCAGGCCUUUGUGCCUGAAAAUUCUUGCAUGGAAUAAUGGAAUAGGACUUCGGUUCUAUUUUGUUGGUUUUCGGAUCCGAAGUAAUGGUUAAGAGGGACAGACGGGGGCAUUUGUAUGGCGGUGUUAGAGGUGAAAUUCUUGGAUCGCCGCCAGACAAACUACAGCGAAAGCAUUUGCCAAGGAUGUUUUCAUUGAUCUUGAGCGAAAGUCAGAGGUUCGAAGACGAUCAGAUACCGUCCUAGUUCUGACCAUAAACGAUGCCAACUGACGAUCCGUGGUGGUUCUUUAUGUGUCCCCACGGGCAGUCCCCGGGAAACCCUUAAGUCUUUGGGCUCCGGGGGAAGUAUGGUUGCAAAGCUGAAACUUAAAGGAAUUGACGGAAGGGCACCACCAGGAGUGGAGCCUGCGGCUUAAUUCGACUCAACACGGGAAAACUCACCCGGCCCGGACACUGUGAGGAUUGACAGAUUGAUAGCUCUUUCUUGAUUCGGGGGUUGGUGGUGCAUGCCCGUUCUUAGUUGGUGGAGCGAUUUGUCUGGUUAAUUCCGAUAACGAACGAGACUUUGGCCUGCUAAAAUAGUAUGCCUGUCCUCUGUGCUCGUGCAGGUUGCGUUUUCCAUUGCCUCUUCGUGGGGUAGUGGUGACGUUAGCCGGCGGGUGCGGCGCAGGUAAUUACUUCUUAGAGGGACAAGCGGCGUUCCAGUCGCACGAAAUUGAGCAAUAACAGGUCUGUGAUGCCCUUAGAUGUCCGGGGCCGCACGUGCGCUACAAUGACGGUUUCAGCGAGUUUGGAAUCCUGGCCUGAGAAGGUUGGGUAAACUGAAUCAUAACCGUCGUGACUGGGAUCGGGGCUUGCAAUUGUUCCCCGUGAACGAGGAAUUCCUGGUAAGUGCAAGUCAUAAGCUUGCGCUGAUUACGUCCCUGCCCUUUGUACACACCGCCCGUCGCUACUACCGAUUGAAUGGCUUAGCAAGGUCCUCGGAUUGGUGCCAUUGUAGUGGCUUCGGCCGCUCGACCGGCGCUGAGAAGACGACCAAACUUGGUCAUUUAGAGGAAGUAAAAGUCGUAACAAGGUUUCCGUAGGUGAACCUGCGGAAGG
This 1967-nucleotide ribosomal RNA is filed under the name Drepanocephalus spathans. Its description in RNAcentral is "SSU rRNA". It matches the Rfam family "Eukaryotic small subunit ribosomal RNA". The record is from RNAcentral. Lineage: Eukaryota; Metazoa; Platyhelminthes; Trematoda; Plagiorchiida; Echinostomatidae.